Molecule: ribosomal RNA, 204 nt
Filed under: Triticum aestivum (bread wheat)
Lineage: Eukaryota; Viridiplantae; Streptophyta; Magnoliopsida; Poales; Poaceae
Description: partial small subunit ribosomal RNA
Source: RNAcentral
AUGGUCAGCUGGCCUGACAUCUGCAAGCUCAGGGAGCAGGGUGGAUUGGGCAUCAUGUGCUCUAAACGGAUGAAUAUUGCCCUUCUAUCCCGGUGGUUGUGGCGUAUCACGCAGGGUCAUGGUGGCCUCUGGCUGGACAUUAUCCGGAAUAAGUACCUGCGUGGUCAACCCCUUUACUUCUGCCAGAAAUCGGGAGGUUCUUAG